GACAUAGGUAUGCUGUUUCCGGCAUCGGUGACAGCCGAGUCAACAAUGAAUUAAUUUGUGAUUAGGUCUUUUUUAUGGUGAACCACAAGCGGUAGGUCAAUCAUAUUUGGUAUGCAGUUGUAUAAGCAUUGGCACAUCUCAUUUCCAUGGAGAUUAUUUGGCCCUGCCCCCUCAGUCAUGGUUUAUUGACUUCAAAAUUUUUGCUUAUUUUACAUGUAUUAGUUUGUGAUUAGGUCAGCUUAUGGGAAACCACAAGUGGUAGGUCAAUGAUAUUUGGAAUGCAGUGGUAUAAGCAUUGGCACAUCUCAUUUCCAAUGAGAUAAUUUGGCGCCACCCCCUUAGUCAUGGUCUAUUGACUUUGAAAAUUUUGGUAAGUUAUCAUGUAUUAGUUUGUGAUUAGGUCAGUUCAAGGGGAACCAUUAGUGGUAGGCCAAUGUUAAUUGGUAUUCAAGUGUGAAAGCAUUGGCACAUCUCAUUUCCAUGGAGAGUAUUUGGCCUCGCCCCUCACAGUCUAAUGACUUUGAAACUUAUCUUAGUUUACAUGUAUUAGUUUGUGAUUAGAUCAGUUUAAGAUGAACUGCUAAUGUUAAAUCAAUGAUAUUUGGUAUGCAAAUUUAUUUACAUUUGCAAGUAUUGUUUCUAUGGAGGUUAUAUAGCCCCACCCCCACUUCGUGCUUCAUUGACUUUGAAACUUUUACAUAGUUUACAAGUUAAUUUUUUGUAUUUAGAUUUUGGAACGACUUAUAAUAAGUCAAUGGUAUUUGGUAUGCAGUUGUAUUAGCAUUGGCACAUCUCAUUUACUCGGAGAUGGUUUAGCCAUGUAACUCAGUCAUGGUUCAUUGACUUUGAAUAUUUGCAUAACUUGUGUAAGAUGUUAAAGUAUUGCUAUUUUGAUUUCAACAUUUGCAUAAUCAAAAUUACAAAAAGGCGAGACACAUCUCUGUGAUAACAGUUAAUUUUAAGAAAGGACUGACUUGAUUUAAAAUUCUUUAGAAACUUGGAAAGAAAAGAUUGACAGCUAGUUAGUUUGUAGACUGCAAGACUGUCCAGGUCCAGUUUGUGACAGAGUGUACAAGUUUGACAUGAUUGUGCAUGGCUUCCAGUUCUGUAUGAUUAAGGGUUGUUCUCUUAAAGUGAGGGAAAAUAGUCCUACCAACUUCCCAAGUUCUAACUAUCUCAAGUACUUCUAGACAUCCUUACUAUUCAUUAGUAUUAAGAUUUAUUUGAAACUAGCCUUUGUAUGACAAAUCUAACGGUUUAUUUUAAACAGGUCAUCCAAAUUUUAAUUAUAAGUUUUAUAAAAAUAGUGUUUUUAUCAUAUGUGCUUGUUAU
Molecule: long non-coding RNA, 1332 nt
Filed under: Mytilus galloprovincialis (Mediterranean mussel)
Lineage: Eukaryota; Metazoa; Mollusca; Bivalvia; Mytilida; Mytilidae
Source: RNAcentral